Long non-coding RNA from Oncorhynchus tshawytscha (Chinook salmon), 6288 nucleotides. The record is from Ensembl. Lineage: Eukaryota; Metazoa; Chordata; Actinopteri; Salmoniformes; Salmonidae.
GGCACGUAAUGAUAAAAUCGUCAACAUCCGAUUCAGGAGCGGGCAUGGCUUUUUGCAAUGUAAGUAUAGUGAUCAAUUAAUUAUACAUAAAUUAAUUUCGAAGGAUUAAGAAAAAAUAAAGGCUAGAUCUACACCUUAGUAAUGAAUGCAGCUCUUUAUAGUCUUGAGAACGAGUCUGUCUGCUAAACGUUAGUCGAGCGAGCUAAUUCAGGAAAACCAGCAGACCAAUUGCAGACUUUCAUAGUCAAAUCUCAGAAUAGCCAUUGGAUUUUAAAACAUCUCAUUCUAUCUUUUUUUGUUUAGUAGAGGUAUACCAGACCACGUGAUAAGCAAUACCACCUCCAGAGAAGAACAGAUAUAGUCCUUGGUUCACUCCAGACCUGACUGCCCUCGACCAGCACAAAAACACUCUGUGGCGGACUGCAAUAGCAUCGAAUAGUCCCCGCGAUAUGCAACUGUUCAGGGAAGUCAGGAACCAAUACAGUCAGUCAGGAAAGCAACGGCUAGCUUUUUCAAACAGAAAUUUGCAUCCUGUAGCUCUUAACUCCAAAAAGUUUUGGGACACUAAGGUCCAUGGAGAAUAAGAGCACCUCCUCCCAGCUGCCCACUGCACUGAGGCUAGGUAACACUGUCACCACCGAUUAAUCCACGAUAAUCGAGAAUUUCAAUAACCAUUUAUUGAAAUUACUGAAAAAAAUUACUUUAUUUACUGAAAUUACUUUAUUUACUGAAAACCAAUAUUUUCAGACAAGAUAGAACGGCCAAAGGGGGCGGUGUUGCAAUGUACUGCAAAGAUAGGACAGAACUCUGCAGGCUACUAUCCAGGUCUGUACCCAAACAAUUUGAACUUCUACUUUUAAAAAUCCACCUCUCUAAAAACAAGUCUCUCACCGUUGCCGCCUGCUAUAGACCACCCUUUGCCCCAAGCUGUGCUCUGGACACCAUAUGUGAACUGAUUGCCCCCCAUCUAUCUUCAGAGCUCGUGCUGCUAGGCAACCUAAACUGGAACAUGCUUAACACACUAGCCAUCCUACAAUCUAAGAUUGAUGCCCUCAAUCUCACACAAAUUAUCAAUGAACCUACCAGGUACCACCCCAAAGCCGUAAACACGGGCACCCUCAUUAGAUAUCAUCCUAACCAACUUGCCCUCUAAAUACACCUCUGCUGUUUUCAACCAAGAUCUCAGUGAUCACUGGCUCAUUGCCUGCAUCCGUAAUGGGUCAGCGGUCAAACGACCUCCACUCAUCACUGUCAAACGCUCCCUGAAACACUUCAGCGUGCAGGCCUUUCUAAUCGACCUGGUUGGGGAUCCUGGAAGGAUAUUGAUCUCAUCCCGUCAGUAGAGGAUGCCUGGUUAUUUUUUUUAAAUGCCUUCCUAACCAUCUUAAAUAAGCAUGCCCCAUUCAAGAAAUUUAGAACCAGGAACAGAUAUAGCCCUUGGUUCUCUCCAGACCUGACUGCCCUUAACCAACACAAAAACAUCCUAUAGCGUUCAGCAUUAGCAUCGAACAGCCCCUUGUGAUAUGCGACUUUUCAGGGAAGCUAGAAACCAAUAUACACAGGCAGUUAGAAAAGCCAAGGCUAGCUUUUUCAAGCAGAAAUUUGCUUCCUGCAACACAAACUCAAAAAAGUUCUGGGACAUUGUAAAGCGCAUGGAGAAUAAGAACACCUCCUCCCAGCUGCCCACUGCACUGAAGAUAGGAAACACUGUCACCAUCGAUAAAUCCACUAUAAUUGAGAAUUUCAAUAAGCAUUUUUCUACGGCUGGCCAUGCUUUCCACCUGCCUACCCCUACCCCGGUCAACAGCACUGCACCCCCCACAGCAACUCGCCCAAGCCUUCCCCGUUUCUCCUUCUCCCAAAUCCAGUCAGCUGAUGUUCUGAAAAAGCUGCAAAAUCUGGACCCCUACAAAUCAACCGGGCUAGACAAUCUGGACCCUUACUAAAAUGAUCUGCCAAAAUUGUUGCCACCCCUAUUACUAGCCUGUUCAACCUCUCUUUUGUGUCGUCUGAGAUUCCCAAAGAUUGGAAAGCAGCUGCGGUCAUCCCCCUCUUCAAAGGGGGGGACACUCUUGACCCAAACUGCUACAGACGUAUAUCAAUCCUGCCCUGCCUUUCUAAAGUCUUCGAAAGCCAAGUUAAACAGAUCAACGACCAUUUCGAAUCCCACCGUACCUUAUCCACUGUGCAAUCUGGUUUCCGAGCUGGUACCUCAGCCACGCACAAGGUACAAAACGAUAUCAUAAAAGAUUGUACUGUGCAGCCGUCUUCAUCGACCUGGCCAAGGCUUUUGACUCUGUGAAUCACCAUAUUCUUAUCGGCAGACUCAGCAGCCUUGGUUUAUCAAAUGACUGCCUCUCCUGGUUCACCAACUACUUCUCAGACAAAGUUCAGUGUUUCAAAUCGGAGGGCCUGUUGUCCGGACCUCUGGCAGUCUCUAUAGGGUGCCACAGGGUUCAAUUCUUGGCCGACUCUGUUCUCUGUAUAUAUCAAUGAUGUCGCUCUUGCUGCUGGUGAUCCCUGAUCCACCUCUAUGCAGACGACACCAUUCUGUAAUCAUCUGGCCCUUCUUUGGACACUGUGUUAAAAAACCUCCAAACGAGCUUCAAUGCCAUACAACACUCCUUCCGUGGCCUCCAACUGCUCUUAAACGCUAGUAAAACUAAAUGCAUGCUUUUCAACCGUUCACUGCCCGCACCUGCCAGCCUGACUAGCAUCACUACUCUGGACUUAGAAUAUGUGGAGAACUACAAAUAUCUAGGUGUCUGGCUAGACUGUAAACUCUCCUUCCAGACUCAUAUUUAACAUCUCCAAUCCAAAAUUAAAUCUAGAAUUGGCUUUCUAUUCCGCCUUCACUCACACCGCCAAACAUUCCCUGGUAAAACUGACUAUCCUACCUAUCCUUGACUUCGGCAAUGUCAUUUACAAAAUAGCCUCCAACACUACUCAGCAAAUUGGAUGCAGUCUAUCACAGUGCCAUCCGUUUUGUCACCAAAGCCCCAUAUACCCCCCCACCACUGCAACCUGUAUGCUCUAAUCGGCUGGCCCUCACUACAUAUUUGUCGCCAGACCCGCUGGCUCUAGGUCAACUAUAAGUCUUUGCUAGGUAAAGCUCCGCCUUAUCUCAGCUCACUGGUCACGAUAACAACACCCACCCGUAGUACGCGCUCCAGCAGGUAUAUAUCACUGGUCAUCCCCGAAGCCAACACCUCUUUGGCCGCCUUUCCUUCCAGUUCUCUGCUGCCAAUGACUGGAACGAAUUGCAAAAAUCGCUGAAGCUGGAGACUUAUAUUUCCCUCACUAACUUUAAGCAUCAGCUAUCAGAGCAGCUAACCGAUCGCUGCAGCUGUACAUAGCCCAUCUGUAAAUAGCCCAUCCAAUCUACCUACCUCAUCCCCAUAUUGUUUUUAUUUAAUUUUCUGCUCUUUUGCACACCAGUAUUUCUACUUCCACAUCAUCAUCUGCACAUCUAUCACUCCAGUGUUAAUUUGCUAAAUUGUAAUUACUUGUUACUAUGCCCUAUUUAUUGCCUUACCUUCUCACGCCAUUUGCACACACUGUAUAUAGACUUUCUUUUUUUCUAUUGUGUUAUUGACUGUACGCUUGUUUAUUCCAUGUGUAACUCUGUGUUGUUGUUUGUGUCGCCCUGCUUUUCUUUAUCUUGGCCAGGUUGCAGUUGUAAAUGAGAACUUGUUCUCAACUAAUGUACCUGUCAAAUAAAGGUGAAAUAAUAAUAUAUAUAUAUUUUUUAAAUCACUGCAUUAAAUCUCUGCAAGUCAUUCUAUUUGAUUUAUUUAUUGAACCUUUAUUUAACUAGGCAAGUCAGUUAAGAAGAAAUUCUUAUUUACAAUGGCGGCCUACCAAGGAUAAGUGGGUUAACUGCCUUGUUCAGGGGCUGAACGACAGAUUUUUUACCUUGUCAGCUCGGGGAUUCAAUCCAGCAACAUUUCUACCCUUUCUAACCACUAGGCUAUCUGCCGCCUCUAUAACUCCAAGCUAUGUAUUUGAGGUAUAUGGUUAUUUUAUGACUUGGGGUUGUUGGUUAUUGUUUUAAUAGACGUUACAUUACAGAAAGAAAGCACACUGCACCCAAAGGAAAUAUCUUAAGUUGACCGAUUGUGGGAAGUAUUAUAGUAUGACUACUGUUAGCUCAAGGGACGAAGCACUCUUUACCUCUCCUCUAGUCACCUGCUACUUCAUAGCCCUUGAUGUGACCCUAGAGUUAUACAAUUUAAAGCUAAAACAAAUCUAUAGCUGUAAAGUAUGUUGUCCCCAGAUAGGCAGAGGUCAAACAGACGGGGCAAAUAUUCACUAAUGGCCUGCUACAACGCUGCUGCAGAUGCUAUACCAUCCAGCUACAACGCUGCUGCAGAUGCUAUACCAUCCAGCGUCUUCUUCAAAGGGUCAGACCAAAUGUCUAACCUCAACUUAUUUGUUUCAGGUUACCCUUAUGAAGUGUUCCACUACUCAUCUGAAAUUGGGGAUUUGGACAAAACAUUUUUCAAAGGGUGGUAUCAUUUAUUUAAAUUUUUUCCCGUGAAGGACCGUCCGCUUGUCAGAGGAGAAACAGACCUACUUGACUCUGAUAUUAUCAAUGAAGCAGGCAGUGAUGGUGUGAUAUUGUUCAGGAUCUACCUGCCACCAGACUUUCCCCAUGUCCCGCAGCCACUAACCAUGGAGUUCUUUGGUCUCUUCAAGGCUGAGUUUUUCAGGGAUGCUUGUGACAUCCCCCCUCCUUAUAGGGACUUUGUCCUUAGGCACAUAGUUGCCACAGUGUUGAAGCAGAAAUAGGAUGCUUUUGAAACUGAGAGGACUGUGAAGGAUGGGUUCGGGAAGACAGGUAUCUUUCUAUUUGACUACCAUGUCAUGGCUAGGUCCGUAUGGUGUGGGAGGGAAAAGAUGAGGCCCGAGUUCGGUUCUGCUGGACCCUGUGAUGAUGGGCCAAAGAAAAAAUGACCCGAACUUGUGACAGACAAGGGUGACAGACAGUUCUUAUGACAAUAAGAAGGCAUUAAAGGCAAGUUCUCUAUAAUAAUUACUUUGAGUCUCGGAAUAUCCUGUGAUUAAUUUACACAAAAUUAAUAUAACGUCAUGUCACCAUUGUAUUGGUACAUGUUGAUCUUGUGAUUUACAGGUGGAAUCUGACGCCAAACCGGUGUUGCCUGGGUCGUUUCUGCCAGUUUCUCUGCCAUCAGAGUCUGUUAAGAAAGGAGAUAUUAGGUGUGGUGGUUAAAAAAUAGGAGGAAAUUAAGGAGGAGUUGAAUGUUGUCAGACAUAUCUGCAAUAGAUCCAAAUAUUUUGAACAAUGCCAAUAAUCAACAUUAGACGAUAAUUAUAUCAAGGAAAAACUGUCAUGCUCCACUUUUCAUACUGUAUACCCACCCUGAUCACAAGAGCCAGCUAUAGUUCAAUUGAAGUGCGUUUGGCAUUUCUAUUAUGUUAGCAGUUUGUAAUUAGAAGUUUUACUUUGAAGCCUUCAUCAUUUUUCUGUUCUGAUGACUUCAUUGCAGUAUUUUCCAAGAGAUCACAGCCAUGACUCCAUUGAGAGAUGGGAUGAGACUUCGGGCCCUGACGAUAUAUCGGAAGCGUCCCAGGAGUUAACAGAGGAAUCUUCAGACUUAUCAGACGGCCCUGAUGAAUCAAACAGAUUUAGAAUACGUUGACGAAGAAGAAGAGUUACCUGAAACUUCACAAGCUGUGAGAGGAAAAGCAUCUUCAAAGUCACUGCUGCCAGAGAAACAGUCACCUCAUGGUGAAACAUUUUUAAUUGCACUAUUGGGCCCAAUCUAAGUGUCUAACCACAGAAACACAGACUUGGUGGAUGAGUCUGGUGACAGCUCUGACGACGAGCCAUUGGUUAAGAUGAUCAGGAAGCUUCCAACAAACUGCCAGCUGAGCGAGAGAGUGAAGGCACUGCUGAAAUACACAGACAUGGCGGAUGUGACAAUGAAGCAAAUCUACAAUAGAGUGUUUGAGAGGUGCCCCCGGUAUGACCUGUCUAACAAGAAGGACAUCAUCAAGCAGACAGUGAAAGAGGGGAUUUCUUUACAACCCAGGGUUUUAAUCAAGCCAUAUUCAUAGCUUUGACAGAUAACAUUAUAAUCCAUGAUCUCAGGAGAACAUAGUUGAUAUCGUGACAGACUCGGGGAUUCCUGUAUAUGCCUUUCCAGGAUGUUUCAUUUAUAUUUUAUACAUACAUAUUCAGACUGUUUAAAUACUAUACAAUUUCAUACAACUUAUUUGUUUUACUUACCUAAGUUUUGUAAAUAAAGUAUUUAUUGUACUGUA